UACGGAGGGGGCUAGCGUUGUUCGGAAUUACUGGGCGUAAAGCGCACGUAGGCGGAUUGGAAAGUUGGGGGUGAAAUCCCGGGGCUCAACCCCGGAACUGCCUUCAAAACUCCCAGUCUGGAGGUCGAGAGAGGUGAGUGGAAUUCCGAGUGUAGAGGUGAAAUUCGUAGAUAUUCGGAGGAACACCAGUGGCGAAGGCGGCUCACUGGCUCGAUACUGACGCUGAGGUGCGAAAGCGUGGGGAGCAAAC
RNAcentral lists this ribosomal RNA (250 nucleotides) under uncultured bacterium. RNAcentral describes it as "partial 16S ribosomal RNA". It matches the Rfam family "Bacterial small subunit ribosomal RNA", at positions 524 to 773 of the family's 1533-position model. The record is from RNAcentral.